Molecule: ribosomal RNA, 468 nt
Filed under: uncultured bacterium
Lineage: Bacteria
Description: partial 16S ribosomal RNA
Rfam family: Bacterial small subunit ribosomal RNA
Source: RNAcentral
GACGAACGCUGGCGGCGUGCUUAACACAUGCAAGUCGAACGGAAAGGCCCUGCUUUUGUGGGGUGCUCGAGUGGCGAACGGGUGAGUAACACGUGAGUAACCUGCCCUUGACUUUGGGAUAACUUCAGGAAACUGGGGCUAAUACCGGAUAGGAGCUCCUGCUGCAUGGUGGGGGUUGGAAAGUUUCGGCGGUUGGGGAUGGACUCGCGGCUUAUCAGCUUGUUGGUGGGGUAGUGGCUUACCAAGGCUUUGACGGGUAGCCGGCCUGAGAGGGUGACCGGCCACAAUGGGACUGCGAUACGGAGCAGACUCCUACGGGAGGCAGCAGGGGGGAAUAUUGCACAAUGGGCGGAAGCCUGAUGCAGCAACGCCGCGUGCGGGAUGACGGCCUUCGGGUUGUAAACCGAUUUCGCCUGUGACGAAGCGUGAGUGACGGUAAUGGGUAAAGAAGCACCGGCUAACUACGUG